UACGAAGGGGGCUAGCGUUGUUCGGCCUCACUGGGCGUAAAGCGCACGUCGGCGUAUUGUUAAGUCAGGGGUGAAAUCCCGAGGCUCAACCUCGGAACUGCCUUUGAUACUGGCGAUCUAGAGUCCGGGAGAGGUGAGUGGAACUGCGAGUGUAGAGGUGAAAUUCGUAGAUAUUCGCAAGAACACCAGUGGCGAAGGCGGCUCACUGGCCCGGAACUGACGCUGAGGUGCGAAAGCGUGGGUAGCAAACAGU
This 253-nucleotide ribosomal RNA is filed under the name uncultured bacterium. RNAcentral describes it as "partial 16S ribosomal RNA". It matches the Rfam family "Bacterial small subunit ribosomal RNA", at positions 524 to 776 of the family's 1533-position model. The record is from RNAcentral.